GUUUCCUACGGGACGCAGCAGUAGGGAAUCUUCCACAAUGGGCGAAAGCCUGAUGGAGCAACGCCGCGUGGGUGAAGAAGGUCUUCGGAUCGUAAAACCCUGUUGUUAGAGAAGAAAGUGCGUGAGAGUAACUGUUCACGUUUCGCCGGUCUCUAACCAGAAAGCCACGGCUAACUGCGUGCCAGCAGCCGCGGUAAUACGUAGGUGGCAAGCGUUAUCCGGAUUUAUUGGGCGUCAAGGGAACGCAGGCGGU
Molecule: ribosomal RNA, 253 nt
Filed under: uncultured bacterium
Lineage: Bacteria
Description: partial 16S ribosomal RNA
Rfam family: Bacterial small subunit ribosomal RNA
Source: RNAcentral